This 2824-nucleotide long non-coding RNA is filed under the name Musa acuminata (dwarf banana). RNAcentral's name for it is "long non-coding RNA (MACU_LNC004745)". The record is from RNAcentral. Lineage: Eukaryota; Viridiplantae; Streptophyta; Magnoliopsida; Zingiberales; Musaceae.
AAACUGAGUACAAAGCAAGUUUCUGAAGUUUUUACUUCAGGGGGUUACAAUUGGUAAGUCUGCAAUCAGACUGCACAUUAUCUGUUUUGACUAAAUUAUCAUUGUAUAAUUCUCUCAAAUGUUUAUUGGUCCAGCUAGUAUUUUAAUUCCAUUUUUGAUCUUUUGUCUACAUCUAUUUGAUCUCCCUAUAGUUAUUCUGGUUUUUGAUUUUUUCAUCCAAAAGCAUUGAGCUGUCUUUGUUGAUUGCUAAGAACCAUGAGCCGGGUUCAGUUUUUACUUUUUAAACUAUGAAGUUCUUGGUUUUUCGUCACUAAUAGUAAAUAAUUAAGUGGGUGUUUCCUUAUAAGUGGUGUUGCUAACCUAUGAGCUCUCGACUGCCAUAUGAUGUUAACCACAGGAUGUUUUUAUUCUUGACAUAUUCAGGCAUAUCGAUUUAUAUCCAAGUGUUCAAUCUCACCCAAACAUCUUCGCUAUGUUUGUGGUCCUGGAUAAAUUCAUCCUUUUUUCUACCAAAACUCGAGUAUAUGUGGAUUACAGCCUCUGCUUGGUGGACCAAAUCAAUGGCAAACAUGAGAAGAUAUCAGGUUUGGUUGUGCUCGCUAGUUUUUUGCUUGAAUCAUUCAUCUGAUUCUACGUUUUUAUUAAAAAAAGUCAUUUGCCAUGAAAUCAGACGUGAGACAAAUGGACUUAUUAACUCGAUAUAUCUAUUAUCUUAAUAGCUCAUAUGCCCUGAUAAAACUUGAGGAUCACUGGUGCCUCAGUAUCUUUCGUGAUGUAUAUAGCUCUUUUUUAUUCGAGUCCUUGUAAUUUUCUUAAAUAUAUUGCAUUUUAUAUCAUGAACCUAAGUUAAUAGUAUACAAAUCCCAAUCUUCUCCUACUUCCAAUGUAUGAUUAAUCUAAAAUCUUGCUUUGUUUCUGCAGAGCGAGAUCAAUUUGCCUCGGGGAGAGGCUGCUGGAGACGUGUCAUGCUUCUGAACUUGAAAGAUAUACAAAAUCCAUCAAGGGGAUUCCUUCACAACGAAACUUGCAUUGUUCUAGCAUCCCUUACUGUUCUUGGAAAUGUCAACAUUACUUAGAACACUGGUGUAUUACCCUUUGAUGACUUGUUUAUUAAUGUUUCAAGAAAACCACAUGUCGACCUCUUAGAUUAAUCCUAUUUUGAAGCUUUAUCAGUAGGAAGUAGGCUGUCUGACUCUUCGAUGCCACCGUAAUCAUCUUGUUGGUGGUAAUAAUAGUACUCCAUGGUAACAUCAUGUGCUGGUGAAGGCUAUAUACUUUCCAUGAUUCAUCUCAAUGUGGAUUAUUCUGUAUGGUCCUCUUCAAAAAAAAUUCAACGAUCCAAUAUCUUGACAAUGUGUCAUGCAAAUUAGGACAAAAUGGUGUCUCCGAGUGCUUGUCUUUGAAGAAGGUAAUAACCCCGGAAACUUAUACUUGGGUGAUUAAGAAUUUCUCGAAACUGUGUAGAACUAGAAUCUGAGCUUUUUACAUCCAGGGGUUACAGCUGGUACAUCCGCAAUAAUACUGCACAUUAUCUGUUUUGACUAAAUUUUCAUUGGUGCAUCAAUUAUGUUGAUUCCAUUUCUGCUGUUUUAUCUAAAUCUUUUUUAGCUCCUCGUCAUUGUUCUGGUUUCUGUUUUUUCAUCCUGAAGCAUUGAGCUGGCUUUCUUGAUAGCUAAACAUCAUGAGCUGGGUUGAGAUUCUAUGGUUGAAUCUAUGUAGUUAUUGGUUUGUCUUCACCAUUAGAAAUGGUUACGCUGGUUUUCUUGGUUGUUACCGAUCGUGAACUGGGUUUGAUACUCACAAGUCUUGUUUCUAACCUUUGAGCUCUCGACUUUCAUAGCUCAUACACCGACCUCCUCGCUAUGUACUUGGUCCUGGAUGAUCCAGUUGCUCUUCCUUCCAAGACAAGAAUGUAUGUGGAUUUCAAUUUUUGCCUGCUGGAUCAUUUCAAUGGCAAACAUAAGAAGAAUCCAGAUUGAGAAUCCAUUUCUUUUAUUUUUUGCAGGGCAAAAUCAACUUUCCUUGAGGAGUUCAGUUGGCGAUGGAACAGAUUUUGUAGCGGAAAGAUGUCCAUAGUUCAGAAAGAUUGCAUGUUCUGUUCUUCGAGAAGUCAGCACACUAUUUGAACAAAUGGUGGGGCGGAUGUUAAUCUUCAAUGAGGAAUGUCAUACGAGUUGUAAGAAUUCACACACCAGUUGUGUUUUGUGUCUUGUUCCCUAUUUCUGCUUGUGUUCUUCAGGUGCAUGCAAUCAGUGGCUUAGAGCAUUAACGCAAUUAGCAGAACCAAUAAUAUCGUAUUUGUCUUGGCGUUUGUCUCUUCCUGACGAAUGAACAGCUGAAAUGUUUGAUACUCUGAUGAUUCUUAUGUCUGUCUUAUGUCUCUUUUAUCGACACAAUUAAAGAACGCUUAAAGCAAUGCAAAUUGCCAGCACGAGUGGUUAGUCUCCGCUGUUUUCUCGUAAGAAAACCUUUUGCUGCCGCUCGUGUGAAGGCAGAUCCAUUUUGGAACUGUAAACAUCUGUGUUCGAGUCGCACAAUCCACGGAAGAGAGAAGAAGCAUACUGCAACAAUAAAGACUUAAAACUCGCUAAGACUACUUAGAUUAUGUGUAGAAUGUUUGUAUAGCACGUCUUGUAGCGAAGAAUCAAUUAUAUUGAUGGGAAUGAAUCCAACAUUAAUAUUAUUGUGUGUUCGAACCAUUAAUGUUCGAGGAUGAAUAUAUUUCGUAACAUAAUGUCUAUAAUUGUGCUGAUUGCCUAACUUGAGAGUGGAAAGGUAUAAGAAUUGGUAGGUGGCCAAAGAAUCGAUUGACCUCGAUACCUAA